GUGGCGGAUUCCAGCCUGGUAUGACUUCAGCCCCCCAAGCUGAAAACCCGGGUUCGAAUCCCGGCGGCCGCACCA
Molecule: transfer RNA, 75 nt
Filed under: Candidatus Bathyarchaeota archaeon
Lineage: Archaea; Thermoproteati; Candidatus Bathyarchaeota
Description: tRNA-Gly
Rfam family: tRNA
About the family: Transfer RNA (tRNA) molecules are approximately 80 nucleotides in length. Their secondary structure includes four short double-helical elements and three loops (D, anti-codon, and T loops).
Source: RNAcentral